AGCGAACGCUGGCGGCAGGCUUAACACAUGCAAGUCGAACGGGCGUAGCAAUACGUCAGUGGCAGACGGGUGAGUAACACGUGGGAACGUACCCUUUGGUUCGGAACAACACAGGGAAACUUGUGCUAAUACCGGAUAAGCCCUUACGGGGAAAGAUUUAUCGCCGAAGGAUCGGCCCGCGUCUGAUUAGCUUGUUGGUGAGGUAAUGGCUCACCAAGGCGACGAUCAGUAGCUGGUCUGAGAGGAUGAUCAGCCACACUGGGACUGAGACACGGCCCAGACUCCUACGGGAGGCAGCAGUGGGGAAUAUUGGACAAUGGGCGCAAGCCUGAUCCAGCCAUGCCGCGUGAGUGAUGAAGGCCCUAGGGUUGUAAAGCUCUUUUGGCGGGGAAGAUAAUGACGGUACCGCAGAAUAAGCCCCGGCUAACUUCGUGCCAGCAGCCGCGGUAAU
RNAcentral lists this ribosomal RNA (451 nucleotides) under uncultured bacterium. RNAcentral's name for it is "bacterial SSU rRNA". It matches the Rfam family "Bacterial small subunit ribosomal RNA", at positions 29 to 524 of the family's 1533-position model. The record is from RNAcentral.